UCGGGUGUUUGAGGUUUGGAGAAAGUGAAAUUCUAGGGGGUUAAGGUGGUCAGUGGAUGGAGUGAGGGGGUUGUUAAUUUUGAUUUUAAUUUAUUUGUUUUUAUUUAUUUUGUUUUUUCAAAAUUUCCUCUGUCUGACUUUUUUCUUCUUCUUCUUCUCUUCUCCUUUAUUUUUUUCUCUCCUGAGUAAAUUUCUUUUCUCUCCAUCCUUCAAUCCUUGAUUUUUAUUAAACCGUGUGUUUUGUUGGUUGAUCGGCAUUGUGGUGCACUUGUCACUUUAUUC
Molecule: long non-coding RNA, 282 nt
Filed under: Gossypium raimondii (Peruvian cotton)
Lineage: Eukaryota; Viridiplantae; Streptophyta; Magnoliopsida; Malvales; Malvaceae
Description: long non-coding RNA (GRAI_LNC000311)
Source: RNAcentral